Molecule: non-coding RNA, 377 nt
Organism: Pimephales promelas (fathead minnow)
Lineage: Eukaryota; Metazoa; Chordata; Actinopteri; Cypriniformes; Leuciscidae
Source: RefSeq, a predicted model, not a curated record
ACUGAGGAUUCUGGAGGAUCCAUUGCACCCACUUCACACAGAAUUUUCCCACCUCCCCUCUGGACGUAGAUUUAGAAUGCCCCGAACUAAAACUAAACGACACAUCACUUCAUUUGUGCCGAGGAGCAUUCAACUACUUAACGAAUCAUCCAUGGGCACAUAGAUUGAUUUUGAAUGUGCAUUAUUGAAUAUAUAUCUAUUUAUUGAUUCUUUUAAGCUGCGGAAUAUUUUAGAGUUGUCAAAUUGAUAUAUUCCAUGUCACUUUUGUCUUUAUUCUUCUUUAUUUAUGUUUAUUUUAUGUUUUUUGUGGUUAUGUUUAUUAUGGUUCCCAUGAGUGUAAAACAAAUUCCCCUUUGGGGCAAUAAAGGUUUCAUUCA